AGCGUAGGCGGACACUUAAGUCAGGGGUGAAAUCCCGGGGCUCAACCUCGGAAUUGCCUUUGAUACUGGGUGUCUUGAGUAUGAGAGAGGUGUGUGGAACUCCGAGUGUAGAGGUGAAAUUCGUAGAUAUUCGGAAGAACACCAGUGGCGAAGGCGACACACUGGCUCAUUACUGACGCUGAGGCUCGAAAGCGUGGGGAGCAAACA
RNAcentral lists this ribosomal RNA (207 nucleotides) under uncultured bacterium. RNAcentral describes it as "partial 16S ribosomal RNA". It matches the Rfam family "Bacterial small subunit ribosomal RNA", at positions 568 to 774 of the family's 1533-position model. The record is from RNAcentral.